GACGAACGCUGGCGGCGUGCUUAACACAUGCAAGUCGAACGGAAAGGCCCUGCUCUUGCGGGGUUCUCGAUUGGCGAACGGGUGAGUAACACGUGAGUAACCUGCCCUUGACUUUGGGAUAACUUCAGGAAACUGGGGCUAAUACCGGAUAGGAGCUCUUGCUGCAUGGUGGGGGUUGGAAAGUUUCGGCGGUUGUGGAUGGACUCGCGGCUUAUCAGCUUGAUGGUGGGGUAGUGGCUUACCAAGGCUUUGACGGGUAGCCGGCCUGAGAGGGUGACCGGCCACAUUGGGACUGAGAUACGGCCCAGACUGCUACGGGAGGCAGCAGUGGGGAAUAUUGCACAAUGGGCGGAAGCCUGAUGCAGCAACGCCGCGUGCGGGAUGACGGCCUUCGGGGUGUAAACCGCUUUCGCCUGUGACGAAGCGUGAGUGACGGUAAUGGGUAAGGAAGCACCGGCUAACUACGUG
Molecule: ribosomal RNA, 468 nt
Filed under: uncultured bacterium
Lineage: Bacteria
Description: partial 16S ribosomal RNA
Rfam family: Bacterial small subunit ribosomal RNA
Source: RNAcentral